UGCAUAUCAAUAAGCGGAGGAAAAGAAACUAACAAGGAUUCCCCUAGUAACGGCGAGUGAACCGGGAAGAGCUCAAAUUUGAAAUCUGGCGUGCUCAGUGCGUCCGAGUUGUAAUCUAUAGAGUCGUUUUCCGUGCCGGACUGUGUCCAAGUCCCUUGGAACAGGGUAUCAAAGAGGGUGAUAAUCCCGUACUUGACACAAUGACCGGUGCUCUGUGAUACGUCUUCUACGAGUCGAGUUGUUUGGGAAUGCAGCUCAAAAUGGGUGGUGAGUUCCAUCUAAAGCUAAAUAUUGGCGAGAGACCGAUAGCGAACAAGUACCGUGAGGGAAAGAUGAAAAGCACUUUGGAAAGAGAGUUAAACAGUACGUGAAAUUGUUAAAAGGGAAACGAUUGAAGUCAGUCGUGACUGAGAGGCUCAGCCGGUUCUGCCGGUGUAUUCCCCUCAGUCGGGUCAACAUCAGUUUUGUUCGGUGGAUAAGGGCAGUUGGAAGGUGGCACCCUCGGGUGUGUUAUAGCCAGCUGUCGCAUACAUCGGAUGAGACUGAGGAAUGCAGCUCGCCUUUAUGGCCGGGGUUCGCCCACGUUCGAGCUU
RNAcentral lists this ribosomal RNA (593 nucleotides) under Papiliotrema flavescens. RNAcentral's name for it is "eukaryotic LSU rRNA". It matches the Rfam family "Eukaryotic large subunit ribosomal RNA", at positions 37 to 608 of the family's 3401-position model. Lineage: Eukaryota; Fungi; Basidiomycota; Tremellomycetes; Tremellales; Rhynchogastremaceae. The record is from RNAcentral.